Molecule: long non-coding RNA, 2087 nt
Organism: Mustela erminea (ermine)
Lineage: Eukaryota; Metazoa; Chordata; Mammalia; Carnivora; Mustelidae
Exons: 3
Source: RefSeq, a predicted model, not a curated record
UUUUUUUUUUUUUUUUUUUUUUUCCCCUUUCCUUUUUCCACCCCCCUCCCUCCCCGGCUUCCUUUCUUUGUAGCCACCUCAGGGGAAGCAACAGAUCGUCACUCGGUGUUCUCACCGAAAGCACGUAAUCGCCGGUGUAACUCAUGUUGGCUGGGGGGCCUCCCGGCGCGCGGCGAGGCUGAGGUGCGCCCCAUGCCGCUCGCCUGUGCUCAGCUGCACGGCGCUGGCCCUCAAGUGCGCCGAGGGCGGUGAGAGAGCUCAACUCCUGCCACCCAUCACUCCCCGGGUGAGGGAUGCCCCAGGCUGGGGGUGGCCGGGUGGGAGCUCGUCGCUGCGUGGCCCGUGCGCGGUCCUGGAAUCUAUUCUCCUGGAGGCUCGCGUGCGCACCUCCUUCGCUCUCCCCCUCCCACAAGCUCGCUCUGGGAACCACCUCUGUCUCGGACUCCGGCCGGACCCCUCCGGGGCCAGGGUUCGCAGCCGUGGAUGUGCCUGCCUCGUGGCUUGCCCGAUUUGCACGGUGACUUGAUUACACGCUCGCAUUCAUGGUCACUUCCGAAGCGCUUUAGUGCCUUCCGUCCCUAAACCGCCAACCACCAGGGCGACUUCCCCCCGCGGUUUGUCAGGCAUCUGCAGGUCCCGGAAGGGCCUUCGUCUUACCCGGGAUCCACCUCCACUUCAUCCUCCCUGCCGACCUCCUCACUUCACCCCUUGCCCUUGAAGAAACCUCUUCCUCCUCGCUGCCUGCCGUGGGUUCGGAGUCGCUCGGCGGAGCCAGAGGCCUGGGGGCUGCGCCACUGUGCACGGUCCGCCCGCCUGCCUGGUCUUCUGGAGCUGAGGACUCGGGAAACCGUGCAGUGGAGGCGAGCCUUGGGCUGCUUAGAGGCGCUGAUAUCCGAGGAGAUUUUUCCUGGGCAUGCUGCACCUUCCGGGGGCCCACCAGGCUGCCGGCGGAGCUGCAGAGCUGAAGGAGAGUGGGGGCAGUGAGGAGGAAGGAGGCUAGGGCCAGGGAGCUGUGGCUGAGAAAGGGGUAACACGCCUCCUCUCCUUCCUUGCAAAGCAUGAGAGCCAGAGAUGUGCAAGCAGAAACUGAGAAGGCUCGGCGCCUUUUCUGCCUCUCAUCCCACAGAAGGAACACAAUGCUAAAGAAAAGAACCAUGCUUCCCAAACUCCCGGCAAGGAUUGAAUGAUCGUCGUUUGGGAGAAGUGAAAGAAGAGGGCAUAGAGCAACCAAGCAGGACUGGGGACUGGGAGGGGCCCAGAAGCCUUCCCACACCUAUCUUCUUGGAAGGAGCUGGAUGUCACUGAAGGAAAGUCGAAAAAUGAAAAAGGAUAACCUUUUCCCUUUCCCCAUCCAGGAAAUAGCCGAAGGAGACCCAACAGCCGGAGGGAGCCCACCCGGCUCAGGGGAAGACCUGACGGGUGCUAAGCCCACCCUGGAAAGCCAAGUCCGAGUUGCAUUUCUUGAGGAGAUCGGGUGGGCAAGGCUAUGACAUUGGCCCUGGCGGCUGGUUGUCCGUGAACUGUUCUUUCUCAGGAGCUCCACAGCGCGAGGCCAUCUCCAGAAAACAGUCUUCAGCAUGUAUUUCCUUUUAUCCUCAACCCAAAACCCCACGGCAGCUAAUGCAAAAGGCCAAAAAUGUUUUGGAGGAAGAAAAACAAAGGCAGGAAGUGGCGGCGGCCUGACGGUGCGUGUGUGUCUGCGGAGAAGGGAGGGAGCCUUUUCAAUCUCUUCUUGUUGUUUUUCCAAACUUCAAGGUCUAGGCAGCCCUCGCAGGGCCGGGCCCUUUCGCUCCCCAAGCAGCAUUUGGAGAUGGCCACCCGGAGAGGAGAAGGCUCGCGCCCGCGCCAGCCUUGUCAAGCGGAAACAGCUAACGAGGCGAUUUGCUCAGCAAAGCAGACCAAGCCUUUGCAAGGCUCCGUUUGAUUUGGCCCGAAAUAGGAGGAGGGGGGGUUUGAGAGGUUCGGCAGUACCUCCUGGAUUCUCCUUGCUGGGGCUGAGUGCGCCCUGGUGGGGAUGAUUCCUGUGUCCUGCGCUCCACCCACCUUCCCAGGCAAGAUACUGGAAUAAAUUGUGUCCAGGUGCCUCU